This 483-nucleotide ribosomal RNA is filed under the name uncultured bacterium. RNAcentral's name for it is "partial 16S ribosomal RNA". It matches the Rfam family "Bacterial small subunit ribosomal RNA", at positions 29 to 507 of the family's 1533-position model. The record is from RNAcentral.
AUUGAACGCUGGCGGCAUGCUUUACACAUGCAAGUCGAACGGCAGCGCGGGCUUCGGCCUGGCGGCGAGUGGCGAACGGGUGAGUAAUACAUCGGAACGUGCCCAGUAGUGGGGGAUAGCUCGGCGAAAGCCGGAUUAAUACCGCAUACGACCGAGGGGGGAAGCGGGGGAAUCUUGGGCCCUCCGGCUUUGGAGCGGGCGAUGGCAGAUUAGCUAGUUGGUGGGGUAAAGGCCUACCAAGGCGACGAUCUGUAGCUGGUCUGAGAGGACGACCAGCCACACUGGGACUGAGACACGGCCCAGACUCCUACGGGAGGCAGCAGUGGGGAAUUUUGGACAAUGGGCGAAAGCCUGAUCCAGCAAUGCCGCGUGUGUGAUGAAGGCCUUCGGGUUGUAAAGCACUUUUGGCGGGAACGAAAAGGACUGUGCCAAUACCACGGUUCGAUGACGGUACCCGCAGAAUAAGCACCGGCUAACUACGUG